GCCCGUGCCCAGCCCAGCGCCUUCCCAGGCCCUGCCCAGACACUGCUAAUCGCCUCUGUCGCCGCUUGAGUCCAGAAGCAACCUCAGAAUCCUUGUGGACACAGCUGACCUGCGGGCCACCGGGGAGGUCAGGGGAGGUGCACCAGGUGCUCACCAUAAACCUAGGAGUCUGCACGGGCAUCAGCCAGCGUCACCCUCCCAGAAGCAGCCCCUUCCUCCAUGGCUACUUCUGCAACUUUAAAUGAACCCGUUUUUAAAGAAAAGUUAAUAUUACAGCCACAAGCAGCAGACCGGCUCACCCACCUCAGCAAAGGGCGAUGGAGAAGCUAAAUCAGUGCUCACCCCAACACGUGACAACAGGAUGCUGGCAAACGCCACUGUCACCUCUUCACAGAAAGUGCAGGAAGUGGCCCAAGGUUCUCCAGCCCCAGCCCCCCAUGCUCUCCUCAGACCUUCCUGCAGUUCCAGGUGACCCGCGAACAAUGCAGGCUGGGGCUCCAUAGGUGCACUUACACACGGACGUCGUUCAACAGAUGUAUUGGAAAAGUUUUGGAAAUUUGCAACAAUUUGAAAAAAACAUUUUCUUUUCUCUAACUUUAUUGUUAUAAUACACACAACACACAAAACGUGUCGAUCAGCUGUUUAUGAGGAAGGUUUCCCAUCAGCAGUAGGCUGUCAGUAUGUAAGUUUUGGGGCAGGCAAAAGUUACACUUGGAUUUCUGACUGCACAGGGGUUUGGCACCCCAACCUCUGCAUUGUUCAAUAGGCAACUGUAUUUCAAAAUAAAAAGCUAA
Long non-coding RNA from Manis javanica (Malayan pangolin), 794 nucleotides. RefSeq lists it as uncharacterized. The record is from RefSeq and is a predicted model, not a curated record. Lineage: Eukaryota; Metazoa; Chordata; Mammalia; Pholidota; Manidae.